UUUUUUUACUAAAAGUACUUGACGACAGUCUUUCAAGUUGGAUGAUGAAAAUGCAUAUCUUCGAAAAAAAAAAAAAUGUGUGUGAUAACUAAAGGUUUAUAGUCCUCAACCACUAAAAAAAUCUAGUCUGCCCUUCCACGAAAUAUUUAAUUAGAAUUUUUUUAAAUGUUUAUGAAUUUUCAAAAAUUCCACCUGACAACCGAUUAGACAAUAGUUUUAAAUUGAAUCAAUGCAGACAAGAUUAUUAACUGAUGCUCAUUAGCUAGUAGAUACAUUUGUCUUUUAAAACACAACUGACAUAUAAGGAUCGUAAUAGUG
RNAcentral lists this long non-coding RNA (318 nucleotides) under Mytilus galloprovincialis (Mediterranean mussel). The record is from RNAcentral. Lineage: Eukaryota; Metazoa; Mollusca; Bivalvia; Mytilida; Mytilidae.